ACGAACGCUGGCGGCGUGCUUCACACAUGCCAGUCGAACGGAAAGGCCCUGCUUGCAGGGUACUCGAGUGGCGAACGGGUGAGUAACACGUGGGUGAUCUGCCCUGCACUUCGGGAUAAGCCUGGGAAACUGGGUCUAAUACCGGAUAGGAGCCAUUUUUAGUGUGAUGGUUGGAAAGUUUUUUCGGUGUAGGAUGAGCUCGCGGCCUAUCAGCUUGUUGGUGGGGUAAUGGCCUACCAAGGCGGCGACGGGUAGCCGGCCUGAGAGGGUGGACGGCCACAUUGGGACUGAGAUACGGCCCAGACUCCUACGGGAGGCAGCAGUGGGGAAUAUUGCACAAUGGGCGCAAGCCUGAUGCAGCGACGCCGCGUGGGGGAUGACGGCCUUCGGGUUGUAAACUCCUUUCGCUAGGGACGAAGCUUUUUGUGACGGUACCUAGAUAAGAAGCACCGGCUAACUACGUG
This 464-nucleotide ribosomal RNA is filed under the name uncultured bacterium. RNAcentral's name for it is "partial 16S ribosomal RNA". It matches the Rfam family "Bacterial small subunit ribosomal RNA", at positions 29 to 507 of the family's 1533-position model. The record is from RNAcentral.